UCCCUAGAGUUAUAUACAAAUGCGAUG
This 27-nucleotide non-coding RNA is filed under the name Drosophila melanogaster (fruit fly). The record is from RNAcentral. Lineage: Eukaryota; Metazoa; Arthropoda; Insecta; Diptera; Drosophilidae.